Molecule: unclassified non-coding RNA, 252 nt
Filed under: Hevea brasiliensis (rubber tree)
Lineage: Eukaryota; Viridiplantae; Streptophyta; Magnoliopsida; Malpighiales; Euphorbiaceae
Source: RNAcentral
UAAUAUAUAAGUAUACCAAGAAAAAGAAAGGAAAGGGCAUCUUACUGAAAAGUACUGAAGUAGGAGGUGGAGGGAGUACCUGUGAAGUCUCUAGUAUAGCAAAUGUUGGGUGAUAGAACCAUAGAACAAUUGUGCAUAAAUAUAAUGAUACAUUGCACAGCCUAAAUGUUGGUACCCUGCUAGUUUCCUGGUGAAAGAUAUGCUUUUAUCUUUGCUAGUUGUGGCUUGAAAUCUGGUUUCAUUGUAUGGCUG